This 442-nucleotide ribosomal RNA is filed under the name Shigella sp. Its description in RNAcentral is "bacterial SSU rRNA". It matches the Rfam family "Bacterial small subunit ribosomal RNA", at positions 334 to 768 of the family's 1533-position model. Lineage: Bacteria; Pseudomonadati; Pseudomonadota; Gammaproteobacteria; Enterobacterales; Enterobacteriaceae. The record is from RNAcentral.
UACUCCUAUCGGAGGCAGCAGUGGGGAAUAUUGCACAAUGGGCGCAAGCCUGAUGCAGCCAUGCCGCGUGUAUGAAGAAGGCCUUCGGGUUGUAAAGUACUUUCAGCGGGGAGGAAGGGAGUAAAGUUAAUACCUUUGCUCAUUGACGUUACCCGCAGAAGAAGCACCGGCUAACUCCGUGCCAGCAGCCGCGGUAAUACGGAGGGUGCAAGCGUUAAUCGGAAUUACUGGGCGUAAAGCGCACGCAGGCGGUUUGUUAAGUCAGAUGUGAAAUCCCCGGGCUCAACCUGGGAACUGCAUCUGAUACUGGCAAGCUUGAGUCUCGUAGAGGGGGGUAGAAUUCCAGGUGUAGCGGUGAAAUGCGUAGAGAUCUGGAGGAAUACCGGUGGCGAAGGCGGCCCCCUGGACGAAGACUGACGCUCAGGUGCGAAAGCCUAACCCC